GAUACAGGGUGACAGCCCCGUACACAAAAAUGCACAUGCUGUGAGCUCGAUGAGUAGGGCGGGACACGUGGUAUCCUGUCUGAAUAUGGGGGGACCAUCCUCCAAGGCUAAAUACUCCUGACUGACCGAUAGUGAACCAGUACCGUGAGGGAAAGGCGAAAAGAACCCCGGCGAGGGGAGUGAAAAAGAACCUGAAACCGUGUACGUACAAGCAGUGGGAGCACGCUUAGGCGUGUGACUGCGUACCUUUUGUAUAAUGGGUCAGCGACUUAUAUUCUGUAGCAAGGUUAACCGAAUAGGGGAGCCGAAGGGAAACCGAGUCUUAACUGGGCGUUAAGUUGCAGGGUAUAGACCCGAAACCCGGUGAUCUAGCCAUGGGCAGGUUGAAGGUUGGGUAACACUAACUGGAGGACCGAACCGACUAAUGUUGAAAAAUUAGCGGAUGACUUGUGGCUGGGGGUGAAAGGCCAAUCAAACCGGGAGAUAGCUGGUUCUCCCCGAAAGCUAUUUAGGUAGCGCCUCGUGAAUUCAUCUCCGGGGGUAGAGCACUGUUUCGGCAAGGGGGUCAUCCCGACUUACCAACCCGAUGCAAACUGCGAAUACCGGAGAAUGUUAUCACGGGAGACACACGGCGGGUGCUAACGUCCGUCGUGAAGAGGGAAACAACCCAGACCGCCAGCUAAGGUCCCAAAGUCAUGGUUAAGUGGGAAACGAUGUGGGAAGGCCCAGACAGCCAGGAUGUUGGCUUAGAAGCAGCCAUCAUUUAAAGAAAGCGUAAUAGCUCACUGGUCGAGUCGGCCUGCGCGGAAGAUGUAACGGGGCUAAACCAUGCACCGAAGCUGCGGCAGCGACACUAUGUGUUGUUGGGUAGGGGAGCGUUCUGUAAGCCUGUGAAGGUGUACUGUGAGGUAUGCUGGAGGUAUCAGAAGUGCGAAUGCUGACAUAAGUAACGAUAAAGCGGGUGAAAAGCCCGCUCGCCGGAAGACCAAGGGUUCCUGUCCAACGUUAAUCGGGGCAGGGUGAGUCGACCCCUA
Molecule: ribosomal RNA, 1034 nt
Filed under: Escherichia coli
Lineage: Bacteria; Pseudomonadati; Pseudomonadota; Gammaproteobacteria; Enterobacterales; Enterobacteriaceae
Description: partial 23S ribosomal RNA
Rfam family: Bacterial large subunit ribosomal RNA
Source: RNAcentral